Long non-coding RNA from Notolabrus celidotus (New Zealand spotty), 583 nucleotides. RefSeq lists it as uncharacterized. The record is from RefSeq and is a predicted model, not a curated record. NCBI's taxonomy places the organism in Eukaryota, Metazoa, Chordata, Actinopteri, Labriformes, Labridae. The transcript is spliced from 3 exons.
UUUGAAUAUUAAAACUGGUGAGUCACCUAGGAGUAAGAAGAUUGUGAAAGCGUCAAGGAAUGCUGCUUCUACACAUGACAGGAAUGUUCUUUGAGUCUCAUCAUCAAAGCGAAUCAACUCUUUCAUCACCAUCACCUCCCCCGUCUCCUUGUGGGUCACCUGGAACAAAACACGGAAGUUUGUGAAGCUUUCAUCCCACUCCCUUCCCCAGCACCUCUCCAUGGAUGAGGUCAGAGGGGCGGAAGAUGCGGUGCGUCCGGUUGGAGACGACUCGGAGUGACUCUGAUCGAUUGAUGUCCUUCCUCUGGGAGACGGGGGAUGCUGCAUUGCUGGAGCCUGGUGACUUAUCGAUGCUGUAGCUCCGCCUGGACGAGGAGAGGAAGAGAAAGAAGAGAAGGAAAAGGAAAAUGAGAGAUGAGGACGACACAGUGAGGGAAGGGAUUAAUAUUUAAAUAGUGUUUGCUGCUAUGAGAAAAAUUCCCUGAGGUUCAUCUUUAUGUAGGGCACAAAUAGUGUAUGCUAAAAGGCCAAAUGACCUUAUUAUUAUGGUACAAAUCUGAUUGAAAACUGAAUGUGAAAAGAC